AGGAUGAACGCUGGCGGCGUGCCUAAUACAUGCAAGUCGAGCGGUAAGGCCUCUUCGGAGGUACACGAGCGGCGGACGGCUGAGUAACACGUAGGAACGUACCCCAAAGUGAGGGAUAAGCACCAGAAAUGGUGUCUAAUACCGCAUGUGAUCUUCGGAUUAAAGCUCCGGCGCUUUGGGAACGGCCUGCGCAUGAUUAGCUUGUUGGUGAGGUAAUGGCUCACCAAGGCGACGAUCAUUAGCUGGUCUGAGAGGAUGACCAGCCAGACUGGGACUGAGAACGGCCCAGACUCCUACGGGAGGCAGCAGUAGGGAAUUUUCCACAAUGGGCGAAAGCCUGAUGGAGCAACGCCGCGUGCAGGAUGAAUGCCUUCGGGUUGUAAACUGCUUUUAUAUGUGACGAUUAUGACGGUAGCAUAUGAAUAAGGAUCGGCUAACUCCGUGCCAGCAGCCGC
RNAcentral lists this ribosomal RNA (455 nucleotides) under uncultured bacterium. Its description in RNAcentral is "SSU rRNA". It matches the Rfam family "Bacterial small subunit ribosomal RNA", at positions 26 to 518 of the family's 1533-position model. The record is from RNAcentral.